UCGGAUCUCUCUCCCUCGACCUCUCUCGGAUCUCCUUCAUCCCCGCCACCGUCGACAUCGUCCGCGAUCUCACAGGCUCCGAUGAAGGCCUCCGCCCUCUCUCCUCCCGCUCCGACCGCCUCCUUCCCCCUCUCUCCCGCCUCCUCCGAGAUCCAGCGGAGCUCUCCGCUCCCGCGGCCGAAGCUCUGAUCAAUCUCUCCCAGGAUCAUGGGAUUGCGGAGGAGCUUGUGUCCAUUGGAACCGUGAGUACUGCAAUGGAUGUGAUGUAUAAGGUUGGGGAUCUUAAAGUUGUGAGGUUGAUGGUGAUGUUGUUGGCCAAUUUGACUCAAUUGGAUUCUGGAGCUAGGUCUCUUCUUCAGGGUUUUGGGUGUGUAUUGAUGAAGCUAGUUCUGUAAUAUUGAGAAGAAGAGGGUUUUGGGAUGAAUAGUGCUUUCAGCGAGCAGAUACUGGCGGAUAAGCUCUCGAAGCUCAAUAGCACUCAGCAAUGUAUUGAAAUUGUUUCUUGGUGUCCGAAAAAUUUGAACAACUGGUGGCAUCACUAACUUCUGCGAGGGUCUCUCAUGCAUGCUCUUAAGUCCUGUAGUUAAUCUAUGCUUGGGUGGUCAUAUGUCUUCGUGUCUGGGGUAAUGUCAUUUGCUGGAGUUGCAAUCUCCUUCCUUUUGUGUUCAAUUUCCUUUUUUGUAACAAUGA
Molecule: long non-coding RNA, 690 nt
Organism: Asparagus officinalis (garden asparagus)
Lineage: Eukaryota; Viridiplantae; Streptophyta; Magnoliopsida; Asparagales; Asparagaceae
Exons: 3
Source: RefSeq, a predicted model, not a curated record